AGUGAACGCUGGCGGUAGGCCUAACACAUGUAAGUCGAACGGCAGCACAGUAAGAGCUUGCUCUUACGGGUGGCGAGUAGCGGACGGGUGAGGAAUACAUCGGAAUCUACUCUUUCGUGGGGGAUAACGUAGGGAAACUUACGCUAAUACCGCAUACGACAUACGGGUGAAAGCAGGGGAUCUUCGGAACUUGCGCGAUUGAAUGAGCCGAUGUCGGAUUAGCUAGUUGGCGGGGUAAAGGCCCACCAAGGCGACGAUCCGUAGCUGGUCUGAGAGGAUGAUCAGCCACACUGGAACUGAGACACGGUCCAGACUCCUACGGGAGGCAGCAGUGGGGAAUAUUGGACAAUGGGCGCAAGCCUGAUCCAGCCAUACCGCGUGGGUGAAGAAGGCCUUCGGGUUUUAAAGCCCUUUUGUUGGGAAAGAAAAGCAGCAGGUUAAUACCCCGCUGUUCUGACGGUACCCAAAGAAUAAGCACCGGCUAACUUCGUG
This 492-nucleotide ribosomal RNA is filed under the name uncultured bacterium. RNAcentral's name for it is "partial 16S ribosomal RNA". It matches the Rfam family "Bacterial small subunit ribosomal RNA", at positions 29 to 507 of the family's 1533-position model. The record is from RNAcentral.